RNAcentral lists this non-coding RNA (24 nucleotides) under Mus musculus (house mouse). Lineage: Eukaryota; Metazoa; Chordata; Mammalia; Rodentia; Muridae. The record is from RNAcentral.
UAACUGCCUUCUUGUCGUGGUAUG